RNAcentral lists this long non-coding RNA (276 nucleotides) under Gossypium barbadense (sea-island cotton). RNAcentral describes it as "long non-coding RNA (GBAR_LNC004302)". The record is from RNAcentral. Lineage: Eukaryota; Viridiplantae; Streptophyta; Magnoliopsida; Malvales; Malvaceae.
UCUGAACCAACUCCUCCUCAAAGGUCAGAUUUGGUUGAACCUCAAUUUCCUUAACAGGCACAAUAUGCGUGGGAUCAGAGCGGUAGCACAUUAACAAAGAGACGUGGAACACAUCGUGAAUCCUAUCCAACUCCGGAGGUAGCUCCAAUUGAUAGGCGACUGGCCCUACUCUUUUCAGAAUACGAUACUACCCAAUAAACCUAGGGUUUAGCUUACCCUUGCGACCGAGCCUCAGAAUCUUCUUUCAUGGCGAGAUCUUGAGAAACACGAAAUCCC